Molecule: transfer RNA, 73 nt
Organism: Ipomoea nil (Japanese morning glory)
Lineage: Eukaryota; Viridiplantae; Streptophyta; Magnoliopsida; Solanales; Convolvulaceae
Rfam family: tRNA
About the family: Transfer RNA (tRNA) molecules are approximately 80 nucleotides in length. Their secondary structure includes four short double-helical elements and three loops (D, anti-codon, and T loops). Further hydrogen bonds mediate the characteristic L-shaped molecular structure. tRNAs have two regions of fundamental functional importance: the anti-codon, which is responsible for specific mRNA codon recognition, and the 3' end, to which the tRNAs corresponding amino acid is attached (by aminoacyl-tRNA synthetases). tRNAs cope with the degeneracy of the genetic code in two manners: having more than one tRNA (with a specific anti-codon) for a particular amino acid; and 'wobble' base-pairing, i.e. permitting non-standard base-pairing at the 3rd anti-codon position.
Source: Rfam
GACUUCGUGGCCCAAUGGAUAAGGUGUUGGUCUACAAAACUAGAGAUUCUGGGUUUGAUCCCCAGCGGAGUUG